This 4169-nucleotide long non-coding RNA is filed under the name Malus domestica (apple). RNAcentral's name for it is "long non-coding RNA (MDOM_LNC017916)". The record is from RNAcentral. Lineage: Eukaryota; Viridiplantae; Streptophyta; Magnoliopsida; Rosales; Rosaceae.
UGUAUUUGGCCGAUCUCAGUAGGUGUUUUGCAAUGAAUGUGAAUGAGAGAUAGGUUUAUUGUUUAUGGAAAGUUGGACAAUCUUCACAGGUAAUUUAUGCCUUCAACGGUGAAGAGAGGCAGGUCAAUAUAAUCGUCUGCUUGAGUUGUGGUCGAUUCAUGUACCAACCUUGGUAGUCCACAAAAUUCUAUUGGAAAUUCACUGGAAAUUUGAUUGUCUGCCAAGCUCAAGAAUAAGAGUUUGGGGAAAAUCCCCAACAAUCUAGAAAUUGGCCCUGUAAUUCUACUACCUACCAAGCCCAAGAUCUCUACAGUCUUAAGUUUUGAUAACCAUAAAGAUAUUGACCAGUGAAAUCACAAUAAAAAAACUCAAAUAUCGAAGAUUUUGGAAACCACCGAUACCAACCAUGCCUUCAUCAGUUGGCAUUUCCUCGCCUUUGAACGAAUACAAAAAGAAUGCAUUAAUAUCUUCAUUGCCCCAGUAAUGUUGGUUAAGCCACUUAGUGAGAGAAAGGACAAAGAUUUUAAUGAAAGAAUUUGAGGUUGUAUUUGUCCCUCUAAAUUAUUUGCAGCCAAACGAAUAACUUUUAGGGACUGACAUGAAUAAAGGCUUGUUGAAAAUGUACCAGUAACGUUGUUUCGACAUAGGUCAUGUUUAUUGAGGUGACUAAGGGCUGGUUUUGUAUUGCUGUGCUUUGAAAAAAAGCUGUUGUGAGAAUAAGCGGCUGUGCUGUGAGAAUAAACGGCUGUGAAAUAAAUCAACAGAGUGUUUGGUAAACUUUUUUGUAAAAGUGCUUUUGGAAAAAAAAAACAGUCUAAUAGUGGGUCUUUUCAUUAAAGAAGCAUUGUAGCUCCGUGUGCUUUGAAAAAAAAACCAGUUUUCCAAAGCUACAAAUAGCAGCUUCAGCUUUUUCCUUUGAUUUCAGCUUAUUCUCACAGCAGCUUCCAAAAUAAGCCUUUUUUUUUUCAGUUUACCAAACACCUAAAACCCUUACAGCUUUUUUUCAUGGGUGUUUUUUUUAAGCACCUCACUCCCAAACUAGGUCUAAGUUUUGAGAAAUUGAGCAUGGAGAUAUCUCCUUCCAAGUUGUUGGCUGCCAUAUGUAUUUCUACAAGGUUUGUGCAAUUCAUCAACGACACAUGGGGGCAAAGAACCUUCAAAAUGGUUGUAAUCAAGAGCCAAGAGUUUCAAUUUGGAGAGCUUUCCAAAAUGGAGAGGGAGCACGCCACUCAACUAAUUAAAGGAGAGGUCAAGGAUUGCGAGGUUGGUGAGGUUGAAGAUUUUCUCACUUAUGGCACCGUGGAGUGAAUUGGAAGGAAAUGUAAUUUCUUCAAGUUUGGUGGCAUUGUAGAUAUCUUUCGGAAGUAACCCUGAGAGGUUAUUGUUACUAGCACGAAAAAUUUGCAUUUGUAAAUAUUCUUUACAUUUCUGCACUUUUAUCAAUGCUCUAACACUGCAUGCAUUGUAAAAAGAGUGUAUCCCACAUUGCGCACUCUUAGUUUAAUAUAUUUUGAUAUGAAAAUGGAUAGUUACAUUUAAUUAGUAAGGGGAAUAAACAUUACCCCUCACAAAACAAGAAAAACAAAAUAAGAAUAAAAUACAAGAAAUGAGGGGGGGACAUAAACCUUACCCUCCUUGCAAAAGAAAAUACAAGAAAAAAAAAAGAAGGGACAAGUAAGGGGGAUAAACAUUACCCCUCAUAAAACAAUAAAAAUAAAAUACAGGAAAUAAGGGGAGACAUAAGCCUUACCCUUCUUAUAAAAGAAAAUACAAGGAAAAAAAAAGGGACAUAGACCUAAAGCAAAUGGUAAUAUACAUAUCCUCGUAGUCUUUAGUAUGAAAAGAAAACCAAUAAAAAGCACAAUCUAGUCUCCUCUAAGCCUCCUUUUCAUCAUGUUCACACGCAUUAUAAUCAUGAAAUAGAGCCUAUCUUGUACAUUGUCAAAGAAUUUAAAAUAUGCAUAUCUCCAUGUCUUCUUAACAAUUAAAGAACCAAACACUCCCCAAAAUCCUACAAUGAAACCUAGUGCGGUAAAAAUAUGCAACCAUGGAAAAUCAUGCUCAUUGUCCACACCUUGGAUGUUCUUGCUAUCUGCAUCAAUGCCCUUAAUUGGUAGACACUCAUUUGGAAGUGGAGGGCCACACAGUUUUGAAUUCCUCUCAAACGCAGAAGCAUCGAAACUUUGGAGCUGAGUGCUUGUUGGGAUUGGUCCUUCGAGAUUAUUGUAUGAGACAUUGAAGGAUCUUAAGAAAUUAAGGCUUGCCAAUGACAACGGGAUGUUUCCAGACAAAUGAUUCAUGGAGAGGCGCAAAUUUUCUAGAUUUUUGAGGUUGGAUAUUUGUUCUAGAAUGUUGCCGAAAAAAUAGUUUCCACUAAGAUCCAAGGUUUGGACAAGGUGUAUUUGGCCGAUCUCAGUAGGUAUUCUGCAAUGAAUGUGAUUGAGAGAUAGGUCUAUUGUUCGUGGAAAGUUGGACAAUCUUCGCGGGUAAUUUUUGUCAUCAAAGUUGAAGAGAGGCAGGUCAAUAUAAUCGUCUGCUUGAGUUUUGGUCGAUUCAUGUACCAACCUUGGUAGUCCACAAAGUUCUUUUGGAAAUUCACCGGAAAUUUGAUUGUCUGACAAGUUCAAGAAUAAGAGUUUGGGCAGAGUCCCCAACGAUCUAGGAAUUGGCCCUGUAAUUCUACUACCUACCAAACCCAAGAUCUCUACAUUCUUGAGUUUUGAUAACCAUAAAGGUAUUUGACCAGUGAACUCACAAUAAGAAAAACUCAAAUAUCGAAGAUUUUGGAAACCUCCGAAACCAACCAUGCCUUCAUCAAAUGGCAUUUCCUCGCCUUCGAACGAAUACAAAAAGAUGAGAGUUUGAAGGCUUUUGCAAUGCAUUAAUAUUUUCAUUGCCCCAGUAAUGUUGGUUAAGCCACUUAGUGAGAGAAAGGACAAAGAUUUUAAUGAAAGAAUUUCAGGUUGUAUUUGUCCCUCUAAAUUAUUGUCAGCCAAACGAAUAGCUCUUAGGGACUGGUAUGAAUAAAGGCUUGUUGGAAAUGUACCAGUAAAGUUGUUUCUACGUAGGUCAAGUUUAUUGACGUGACUAAGUUUCGAGAAAUUGAGCUUGGAGAUAUCUCCUUCCAAGUUGUUGGCUCCCAUAUCCAUUUCUACAAGGUUCGUGCAAUUCAUCAACGAUGGGGGCAAAGAACCUUCAAAAUGGUUGUAAUCAAGAGCCAAGAGUUUCAAAUUGGAGAGCUUUCCAAAUUGGAGAGGGAGUACGCCACUUAACUGAUUAAAGGAGAGGUCAAGGAUUGCGAGGUUGGUGAGGUUGAAAAUUUUCUCACCUAUGGCUCCAUGGAGUGAAUUGGAAGGGAAUGCAAUUUCUUCAAGUUUGGUGGCAUUGUAGAUAUCUUUCGGAAGUAACCCUGAGAGAUUAUUGUUACUAGCACGAAAAAUUUGUAGUUUUGAACACUCUCCGAGUCCAGGAGAAAUGUUGCCACUAAAUUCAUUGUGGGAAAAAUCCAACAGCCUAAUCAAGGGAGAAGAAUGAAGGCAUAUAGAGGAUGGGAUCAAACCUGAGAAGGCAUUGUUGGUGAUGUUGAAACUAGUUAAAUUCCAAGCUUGUUGAAAGAAUGAUGUUGGAAUUGCACCCUGGAAGCGAUUGCUAGACAAAUCCAACGUCUGGAUAUUGUGGGAUGGUAGAGAAAAAGGUAGCUUUCCAGAAAGAAGAUUAAAGCUUAAAUCAAGGAUCUCAAGACGAUUCAAAGACGAGAAGAAUUCAAUUUCAAGUGAUCCGGAAAGUGAAUUGUGAGAGAGAUUCAAGUGGGUGAGGUGUGUGAGAUUUCCUAGUGACGAUGAUGAGGGGAAAAUAGCUCAUUUGAGACCUUUGGAGGAUAAGAGCAAAUGGGUGACCAAACCAUCCUGAUUACAAGUGAUGCCCUCCCAACUACAACAGUUAACUGAAGUCCAUUUUAAAGGGAGAGAAGAUAGGGUGGAGGUGAAGGACACAAGAGAGGCGCGCUCCGUUUGGUUGCAUGCAUGAACAUUUGUAGAGAUGAUGUGUGAGAAUAAGAGGAUAAGAAGAAAGCCAUGAGCCAUUGGGUUAGAAAGUAAGCUGGUCUAGCAUAUAGAUAUGUUUCUUUACAUUCGGAAUUCUCAAAGGUAUAUAUAGAGCAACUAAUUGCA